This 299-nucleotide ribosomal RNA is filed under the name Rhipicephalus sanguineus (brown dog tick). RNAcentral describes it as "partial large subunit ribosomal RNA". Lineage: Eukaryota; Metazoa; Arthropoda; Arachnida; Ixodida; Ixodidae. The record is from RNAcentral.
UUUUAAAUUGCUGUGGUAUUUUGACUAUACAAAGGUAUUGAAAUAAGAUUUUAAUUGAAUGCUAAGAGAAUGGAAGUUCAGAAAAAAACUUUUUUUAAAUUAAAAAUUGAAGUUUUUUUAAUUUGUGCAGAAACAAUUAUUUAUAUUAAAGACAAGAAGACCCUAUGAAUUUAUUAAAUUUUUAUUUAAUAUGUAAUUACUAUUAAAAAAAUUUUGGCUGGGGCGGCUAGAAAAUAUUAUAAACUUUUUAAAAAUAAAAUGAUCCAUUAUUAAUGAUUUUAUGUUAAAUACUCUAGGGA